RNAcentral lists this unclassified non-coding RNA (505 nucleotides) under Hevea brasiliensis (rubber tree). Lineage: Eukaryota; Viridiplantae; Streptophyta; Magnoliopsida; Malpighiales; Euphorbiaceae. The record is from RNAcentral.
UUUUUUUUUUUUUUUUUUCUGGUGUCGCCUUUGGAGAAGGAAGUGCAAACCAAUGAGUUGCGUUAUGUUGGUGUUCCCUCAUCGACAUUGCCAUUGGAGAGGGAAGUUCAACCCAAUGAGUUGCUUUUUGUGUUGAUGUUUCCUUGCCGGCAUCGCUUUUGGAGAGGGUUUGCUUUGAGUUUUGGUGCUUUGUGUUGUUGCCUUUGUGUAGGUCUUUUUGAAUCUAGCUUUUGAGCUAUUGUUCUCAUUAAGAGGAAGUGUUAAAAUUAAUGAUAUUCCAUUUUAAGGGAUAUGGAAAGUCCAUAAAGAUUUUAUCUAUUUCUAGUUAAUAAAUUUUAUAUAUUCCUAAUUAGUGCAAGAUUUAUAUUUCAAAAUGGGUAGGAAUUAUAUCCCUAAUUAAGUGGAGUGAUUAUAGGAGAUUUAUAUAUAUAAAUAAAUAUAUAAUCUAUUAUUUUAUAAAAUUAAUGAGAAAAUGAUGGAGCCCUUUAUGGUUUUUCCCUUCUCU